UACGUAGGGGGCGAGCGUUGUCCGGAUUUAUUGGGCGUAAAAGGCUUGUAGGUGGCCACGUCAAGUCGGAUGUGAAAUCUCCCGGCUCAACUGGGAGGGGUCAUUCGAUACUGGCGGGCUCGAGGCCGGUAGGGGGAAGCGGAAUUCCCGGUGUAGUGGUGGAAUGCGUAGAUAUCGGGAGGAACACCGAUGGCGAAGGCAGGUCUCUGGGCAUUAACUGACGCUGAGGAGCGAAAGCAUGGGGAGCGAACAGG
RNAcentral lists this ribosomal RNA (254 nucleotides) under uncultured bacterium. Its description in RNAcentral is "partial 16S ribosomal RNA". It matches the Rfam family "Bacterial small subunit ribosomal RNA", at positions 524 to 776 of the family's 1533-position model. The record is from RNAcentral.